ACAACCACCCACAUCUGGCACUGAGACACAGCCCACACUCCUACGGGGAGGCAGCAGUGGGGAAUUUUGGACAAUGGGCGAAAGCCUGAUCCAGCAAUGCCGCGUGUGUGAAGAAGGCCUUCGGGUUGUAAAGCACUUUUGUCCGGAAAGAAAUCCUUGGCUCUAAUACAGUCGGGGGAUGACGGUACCGGAAGAAUAAGCACCGGCUAACUACGUGCCAGCAGCCGCGGUAAUACGUAGGGUGCGAGCGUUAAUCGGAAUUACUGGGCGUAAAGCGUGCGCAGGCGGUUUGCUAAGACCGAUGUGAAUUCCCCGGGCUCAACCUGGGAACUCCAUUGGUGACUGGCAGGCUAGAGUAUGGCAGAGGGGGGUAGAAUUCCACGCGCAGCAGUGAAAUGCGUAGAGAUGUGGAGGAAUACCGAUGGCGUCUAAGACCACCGCAAAUGAAUUGACGGGUAGAGUUUGAUCCUGGC
This 473-nucleotide ribosomal RNA is filed under the name uncultured bacterium. RNAcentral's name for it is "bacterial SSU rRNA". It matches the Rfam family "Bacterial small subunit ribosomal RNA", at positions 300 to 765 of the family's 1533-position model. The record is from RNAcentral.